RNAcentral lists this ribosomal RNA (583 nucleotides) under uncultured bacterium. Its description in RNAcentral is "partial 16S ribosomal RNA". It matches the Rfam family "Bacterial small subunit ribosomal RNA", at positions 355 to 930 of the family's 1533-position model. The record is from RNAcentral.
UGGGGAAUUUUGGACAAUGGGGGCAACCCUGAUCCAGCAAUGCCGCGUGUGUGAAGAAGGCCUUCGGGUUGUAAAGCACUUUUGUCCGGAAAGAAAACGCCGUGGUUAAUACCCGUGCGGAUGACGGUACCGGAAGAAUAAGCACCGGCUAACUACGUGCCAGCAGCCGCGGUAAUACGUAGGGUGCAAGCGUUAAUCGGAAUUACUGGGCGUAAAGCGUGCGCAGGCGGUCCGCUAAGACAGAUGUGAAAAUCCCCGGGGCUUAACCUGGGAACUGCAUUUGUGACUGGCGGGCUAGAGUAUGGCAGAGGGGGGUAAAUUCCACGUGUAGCAGUGAAAUGCGUAGAGAUGUGGAGGAAUACCGAUGGCGAAGGCAGCCCCCUGGGCCAAUACUGACGCUCAUGCACGAAAAGCGUGGGGGAGCAAACAGGUUCAGAUACCCUGUAGUCCGCGCCCUAAACGAUGUNAACUAGUUGUCGGGUCUUCAUUGACUUGGUAACGUAGCUAACGCGUGAAGUUGACCGCCUGGGGAGUACGGUCGCAAGAUUAAAACUUAAAUGAAUUGACGGGGUCUGCUGUUUCC